UGUUAAAAAUUAAUCCAUCCAUUUUUAUAGUUAAAAACUGUUAUGCUAACAGAAUAACAUAUGUAUCUCAUAGUGACGUACAAUGACCAGCUUUUAAUAGUAGAAAUAGAUGGAUUUUUUAACA
This 124-nucleotide microRNA precursor is filed under the name Gossypium arboreum. Its description in RNAcentral is "MIR7502 microRNA precursor family". It matches the Rfam family "MIR7502 microRNA precursor family". Lineage: Eukaryota; Viridiplantae; Streptophyta; Magnoliopsida; Malvales; Malvaceae. The record is from Rfam by way of RNAcentral.